This is a small nucleolar RNA of Cavia aperea (Brazilian guinea pig), 72 nucleotides long. The record is from Ensembl. Lineage: Eukaryota; Metazoa; Chordata; Mammalia; Rodentia; Caviidae.
CGGAUCGGUGAUGACCACUGGAGUCGUAUGAGUCAUAGAUGAUGACUACAGCUCUCAGCGUCUGAGGUCCCA